GACGAACGCUGGCGGCGUGCUUAACACAUGCAAGUCGAACGGAAAGGCCCUGCUUUUGUGGGGUGCUCGAGUGGCGAACGGGUGAGUAACACGUGAGUAACCUGCCCUUUACUUUGGGGUAACUUCAGGAAACUGGGGCUAAUACCGGAUAGGAGCUCCUGCUGCAUGGUGGGGGUUGGAAAGUUUCGGCGGUUGGGGAUGGACUCGCGGCUUGUCAGCUUGUUGGUGGGGUAGUGGCUUACCAAGGCUUUGACGGGUAGCCGGCCUGAGAGGGUGACCGGCCACAGUGGGACGGGGAUACGGCCCAGACUCAUACGGGAGGCAGCAGUGGGGAAUAUGGCACAAUGGGCGGAAGCCUGAUGCAGCAACGCCGCGUGCGGGAUGACGGCCUUCGGGUGGUAAACGGCUUUCGCCUGUGACGAAGCGUGAGUGACGGUAAUGGGUAAAGAAGCACCGGCUAACUACGU
Molecule: ribosomal RNA, 467 nt
Filed under: uncultured bacterium
Lineage: Bacteria
Description: partial 16S ribosomal RNA
Rfam family: Bacterial small subunit ribosomal RNA
Source: RNAcentral